This 1457-nucleotide ribosomal RNA is filed under the name Enterococcus mundtii. RNAcentral describes it as "bacterial SSU rRNA". It matches the Rfam family "Bacterial small subunit ribosomal RNA". The record is from RNAcentral. Lineage: Bacteria; Bacillati; Bacillota; Bacilli; Lactobacillales; Enterococcaceae.
CGGGGGGGCGUGCUAUACAUGCAGUCGACGCUUCUUUUCCCACCGGAGCUUGCUCCACCGGGAAAAGAGGAGUGGCGAACGGGUGAGUAACACGUGGGUAACCUGCCCAUCAGAAGGGGAUAACACUUGGAAACAGGUGCUAAUACCGUAUAACAAUCGAAACCGCAUGGUUUCGUUUUGAAAGGCGCUUUACGGUGCCGCUGAUGGAUGGACCCGCGGUGCAUUAGCUAGUUGGUGAGGUAACGGCUCACCAAGGCCACGAUGCAUAGCCGACCUGAGAGGGUGAUCGGCCACAUUGGGACUGAGACACGGCCCAAACUCCUACGGGAGGCAGCAGUAGGGAAUCUUCGGCAAUGGACGAAAGUCUGACCGAGCAACGCCGCGUGAGUGAAGAAGGUUUUCGGAUCGUAAAACUCUGUUGUUAGAGAAGAACAAGGGUGAGAGUAACUGUUCACCCCUUGACGGUAUCUAACCAGAAAGCCACGGCUAACUACGUGCCAGCAGCCGCGGUAAUACGUAGGUGGCAAGCGUUGUCCGGAUUUAUUGGGCGUAAAGCGAGCGCAGGCGGUUUCUUAAGUCUGAUGUGAAAGCCCCCGGCUCAACCGGGGAGGGUCAUUGGAAACUGGGAGACUUGAGUGCAGAAGAGGAGAGUGGAAUUCCAUGUGUAGCGGUGAAAUGCGUAGAUAUAUGGAGGAACACCAGUGGCGAAGGCGGCUCUCUGGUCUGUAACUGACGCUGAGGCUCGAAAGCGUGGGGAGCAAACAGGAUUAGAUACCCUGGUAGUCCACGCCGUAAACGAUGAGUGCUAAGUGUUGGAGGGUUUCCGCCCUUCAGUGCUGCAGCUAACGCAUUAAGCACUCCGCCUGGGGAGUACGACCGCAAGGUUGAAACUCAAAGGAAUUGACGGGGGCCCGCACAAGCGGUGGAGCAUGUGGUUUAAUUCGAAGCAACGCGAAGAACCUUACCAGGUCUUGACAUCCUUUGACCACUCUAGAGAUAGAGCUUCCCCUUCGGGGGCAAAGUGACAGGUGGUGCAUGGUUGUCGUCAGCUCGUGUCGUGAGAUGUUGGGUUAAGUCCCGCAACGAGCGCAACCCUUAUUGUUAGUUGCCAUCAUUUAGUUGGGCACUCUAGCAAGACUGCCGGUGACAAACCGGAGGAAGGUGGGGAUGACGUCAAAUCAUCAUGCCCCUUAUGACCUGGGCUACACACGUGCUACAAUGGGAAGUACAACGAGUCGCGAAGUCGCGAGGCUAAGCUAAUCUCUUAAAGCUUCUCUCAGUUCGGAUUGUAGGCUGCAACUCGCCUACAUGAAGCCGGAAUCGCUAGUAAUCGCGGAUCAGCACGCCGCGGUGAAUACGUUCCCGGGCCUUGUACACACCGCCCGUCACACCACGAGAGUUUGUAACACCCGAAGUCGGUGAGGUAACCUUUUUGGAGCCAGCCGCCUAAGGGGUGU